Long non-coding RNA from Neofelis nebulosa (Clouded leopard), 2369 nucleotides. RefSeq lists it as uncharacterized. The transcript has 2 exons. The record is from RefSeq and is a predicted model, not a curated record. Lineage: Eukaryota; Metazoa; Chordata; Mammalia; Carnivora; Felidae.
UGGGGAUUCCCCCAGCUGACUUUUCUUCAGGCGGGUUAUUUGGGGCUGACCUCAGAGAAGGCCAAACUGGGUGCUGCAGGGGAAGGGAGGGAAGAAACAGAGCACAUUUGUAAGUAUUUUGAUCAUAAUAGUUGCCAUUUAUUGAGCUCUCUCCAUCGAUCUGGCCCAAUUCUGAAUUUCACAAGCACUAACUCUUUAGAUCCUCACCACCUGGGAGGGAGGUAGUCUUCUUCUUCUCACUUUAAGGAUGAGAAGACUGAGGCUCAGAGAAGCUAAGUUACCUGCCCAGGACCAUCUAGCUUCUAAAUCACAGAGCCAGGAUUUGGACUCGCAUCUGCCCAGCUUCAAAGCUUGUGACGUCAACCAGUAUGCCAUACAGCCUCAGGGAGGGGGACACAGGCGUGGUGCCCCCUUCACUGAAAUAAAUACGAUCAAUUCAACAACAACAACAACAACAACAACAAAAUUGCAGGUUUAUUGUUAUCCCUGCUCCCUAAUCGAGUAUCACCUCUAUACCUGAGGUCUCAAACAAAUGGCCUGCGGGCCAAAAUCUGUCCGGACGCUUACUGAAUUUGGCACGCGGUCUUUAGAAAUAACUUGACCGGCUCCUAAAGGCCUUUGAGUUUUGUGGCUUUGGCCUCUCAUCCCCCUUGCUUUAUUCAGUUCCGUUUCAAGAGGACAGAAGUGCUGUUUUACAGUUUCAAUGCAAGUACCUACACUGAACACGGGGAAGGUGGACCUCACAGAGUUUCUGCAGAUAGUGUCACCCAGGUGAGGACGCACUCAGCAGCAGCUACCAUGCAAAGGUCAUCAGCAGGUCCGUGAGAGGCCGGACAAGGCCUGGCAGGGACCGCAGCGUCACAGGGCAGUAGCAGGAGAAGGCCAGAGGGGUAAACAUGACUACACGCAACUUCGGAGUGGAGCUACUGUUGCACUUGGUGGAACCAGGCCAGGUCCCUGAUCUCACACUUCCUUGGCAGGGUCCUUCUCUGCCGCGAUCAUCUGGGAGUCACGUGUUCUCAGUGCCGCUGUGACGGGAACAAACGCGAGCAAGAGGCCAGCCUUUCUGGGCCCAGCAGAACACCACUCCUUUCAUGGCCGGGGUGCCCAUAAUUAGUCUACAAAUAGUACUGUGCCCGUCGCCAGCUCACCCCUUCUGUCCUUAUUCCUACUCACUGCGCCCCAGUUGCCUUGUCUACAUGCUGUACUUCCCUGUGGAGUGGAGGAAAGGGAAAGAAGGAAUCCGACUCCCUAUUAUUGUAUGGAAUGCAGCAGGCAGCCCUCCUGGCGAUCAGAUUAUGUCCACGCAUCGUCCCUGAAUGAUUUCAUCUGAACUGUUGACUCCUGAACUCACCACAAUUCUCCCUCAUGGCUCCCUCAUGAUGCCCAGAUGAAGAAGCUCUUGCAGAUCAUCGGGUUAUUUGGACCUUACAACAGGACAAAUGGCUCUGAGUCCAGUGCUCCUUCCUCCAGCCCUACCAGGAGGCCCUGUAGCCCCACCCCACUCCCACCGCAGGGGCUCUCGCUCGCUGGCUUAAUGAAGAUUUCCUGAGCCCCUGCUCCGUGCCCAGCACCGGCCGGCAUGCUGAGACAUAACACUGAGGAAGAUAGUUCGCAGAGGAAUUGAUGGCACCACCUGAAAUGCUAGAGCCUUAUCCACCCGGCCCCGCGCUGGGCCCAGCAGCAGAACGGUAGAGUUCUUCCCUUACCUCUGGAUCAGGCUUCUGUAUGUUCUCCAGGCUUUUUACCAGGGUUGUGGACGUUCCUGAGCUGCAAGGCAUGAAAAUCAUGGGGAAUUAACCGGCCAGCACUGUAUGUUCAAGAGUCCCUGCAGGAGACCCCACAGAGCUUUGUGCAGAGGGGGACCUCAGAGGAGGAACUAUUCUCUCUAGAUGCCCACCGCCAGCACCAGUCAGCCCACCUCGAAACCUGAGGAGUGCAUCUCUCUGAUGAAGGGCAGGAAGGGAUUCUGGAGAUAGUCUGGGCUGAACAGCAGCGUUGACUUCCCUAUUAACCUAGCUAACAUCUUUCUGCCCACACACUUUCAAGUGAAUUAACAGUGAGGGCCACGGGAUUAGAUUUUAUCACAACCGAGGACUAGGGAGAUGUAGCUGGACCAGCAGGGGGCGACAGAAGCUCAGCGACACCCAGUUUCAAAGGGUUCCUGGCCAUCCGGGCGGGGGGGGGGGGGGGGGGGGGGGGCGGCGGUUGGCAGAGCAGAAUUGGCGCCAGAAACUCCCUGAGCGGCCAGCCCUGGCCCCUUCCCAGCCCUCGGCCUUUGAUCUCUUGACCAUCUGCCCUCUGCAUCUGCCACUGAAUACACUUCCUUUUUUUCUGCUCUGGCCUAGGCAAGAGCUAAAAAAUAAUAA